UCCCUCGUGGCGCAAUUGGCUAGCGCGUUCGACUGUUAACAGACAAUUCUGAGGCUAUCGAGAGGUUGGUGGUUCAAGCCCACCCGAGGGAG
Transfer RNA from Glarea lozoyensis 74030, 92 nucleotides. It matches the Rfam family "tRNA". From Rfam's summary of the family: Transfer RNA (tRNA) molecules are approximately 80 nucleotides in length. Their secondary structure includes four short double-helical elements and three loops (D, anti-codon, and T loops). Lineage: Eukaryota; Fungi; Ascomycota; Leotiomycetes; Helotiales; Helotiaceae. The record is from Rfam.